This is a long non-coding RNA of Rosa rugosa (rugosa rose), 1725 nucleotides long. RefSeq lists it as uncharacterized. The transcript has 11 exons. The record is from RefSeq and is a predicted model, not a curated record. NCBI's taxonomy places the organism in Eukaryota, Viridiplantae, Streptophyta, Magnoliopsida, Rosales, Rosaceae.
CAAAUACCGAAACCUUCUCUCUCUCUCUCGACAGACCCGAUCGAAACAGGCCAAAGCCCUUUCUCGACUCGCCUCUCUCUCAAUAGAUGACCCAAAACCAAAACCCUAGCUAGCUCACUCUCUGGCCAAAAUGUCACUCUCCCAAACCAAUAGUGUGAUGGUAGACCGCGAACGGGAUUGAGACGUUGAACUGAGAUCGAUUUUAUUCAGCUCGACUCGAUUCCCUUGGAGCGAAGCUGUUGGAGAAAUCUGGUAAGACUCAGAACCAGGAGCGAAAACUCAGAACUCGGAGCUGACAAAGCCGGCCGAGCGUGUUGGUGAAGUGAAUACACAUAUGCAAGACCGAAUUGUUCGCGCGCCUCCAUUUUUUUCCCACAUUGAAUGCGAUUUCAGUGUUUUAUGAUGAGGACCCAAAUUUGUGGAUGGGUUUCUGGGUUUCCUCAAUCAUCAUAAGCCUCCCGAGCCGCGGAUCCGACGAGUUCAGGCCCUUCGUUCGACCUCUCCUCGAGUUUAAAUUCUGGUAGUUUUGACUUGUUCUUCCCCAUGAACAUCUUCUCCAACCCAAUGCCAAAGAGACUUUCGGGAAAGCAAGAGAGAAAUGGCUAAUGGUACUAGAGGUUUGUUAGCCUUGACGUUCGUUGUUGGUUUCAUAGAGCAGCGAGUACCUCCCUCUCCUUGCAGUGGAAGGAUAACAGGUUGGUGCCUCCCGAAUCCACCAUGACUUGCUAGACUCUGCCAAUUGGACCUUAAUUUUUGUGUUUGGCUUCAUUGACAGUUCCCCUGCUAAGCAGACGUAUGAGGCAAUCACUCAUAAAUCAUGCAGAAAGGGGAAACGUUAACCAUGUACGGAAAUACAGGACCACCCUUAGGAUUUCAGCUCCAUACACCCUGUUAUUGGAAUUACAUGUUGUAUGAAUUCAGACCAUUCUUGCCUUGGAAAGAGCUUUUCCAUGGAGAUUGGCUUAAUUUUAAUGCUCAAGCAUUUUUGCAGAAUGGCAUGAUUGGGACAAAUUAAAUAACAUGAUAUCCUUUCAGCUGAAGCAGAUUCUGUCAAAGUAUCCUGAUGCAGAAAAGACUAGUGAGCAGCAAAUUACUACUUUAGGAGAAACCUACCUAGAACUGGUGAAGAGGUUGGAUGAAGAUUCUCAUGGCACAAAGAGCAAAGUAAAUGACAACAAGUGCAAAGAAUGGAAAGAUAUUGUUGACACUGCUAUAUCAAUGUUUAAAGGGGAACGCAACAAGAAAGGACGGAGCUCUGUUCAAUGGAAGAACAUGGCAGGUAUUCCAUAACAGCCAAACGACAAACAGUGCGGCUAUUUUGUGAUGAGAUAUAUGAGGGAUAUCAUCCAUGAUACAAACUUGUCAUUUGCAGAUAAGUGGGCUAGGAGAGCCAAUCAUGUUUAUGGUCAAGUGGAAAUUGAUGAAGUGCGUAAUGAGCUUGCGAGUUAUGUGUUGAAAAACAUCCUCAAGCUGUAAAGUAUGCAGUUGCUCAAGCCCUAGAAGCUGUGAAGUGAAAUAGGCUAGAAAUGUAUUUUUGUGCUCCAAAGUGACAAUCUAAAGUGCAUUUCUUCACUUAUUUUGCUAGUGGAGUAGCUAGUAUAGAUGUGCUCCAUAUUUUGGUGUUGGAGUAGUAUAGUGCUCCUUUUUGGCAAUAUUGUCUAAUACAUUUCAGUACAAUUAUGUGGAUUAUAACAAUAUUAGAUAUAUAUUGGUAAUUACUGUUCA